Molecule: ribosomal RNA, 1080 nt
Filed under: uncultured bacterium
Lineage: Bacteria
Description: bacterial SSU rRNA
Rfam family: Bacterial small subunit ribosomal RNA
Source: RNAcentral
GUAGUCUGACUAUCAUGUCGAGUGGAGGAUGUAGUCCUAUGGAUGGUAACUUCUUCCUCUGGAGAAUCCACGAUCUACGUAGAUGACGUACCAGAUGACUAAGAUCGGCAACUCGUGCCAGCAGCGUGGUUAUCCGAGGGUGCAGUGUUAUCCGGAUUCACUGAGUAUAAACGGUGCGUAGAUGGGAUGGUAAGUCAGUGUGAAAUCUCCGAGCUUAACUUGGAAGCUGCCGUUGAUACUAUCAAUCCUGAAUAUCGCGUAGGUAAGCGGAAUAUGUCAUGUAGCGGUGAAAUGGUUAGAUAUGACAUAGAACACCAAUUGCGAAGGCAGCUUACUUCACGAUCAUUGACACUGAGGCAUGAAAGCGUGGGGAGCAAACAGGAUUAGAUACCUGGUAGUCCACGCCCUAAACGAUGGAUACUCGACAUUAGCGAUACACUGUUAGUGUCUGAGCGAAAGCAUUAAGUAUCCCACCUGGGAAGUACGACCGCAAGGUUGAAACUCAAAGGAAUUGGCGGGGGUCCGCACAAGCGGUGGAGCAUGUGGUUUAAUUCGAUGAUACGCGAGGAACCUUACCUGGGCUAGAAUGCAGUCUGACCGUGGGUGAAAGCUCACUUUGUAGCAAUACACAGAUUGUAAGGUGCUGCAUGGCCGUCGUCAGCUCGUGCCGUGAGGUGUUGGGUUAAGUCCCGCAACGAGCGCAACCCCCAUCAUUAGUUGCCAUCAGGUCAAGCUGGGAACUCUAAUGAAACUGCCGUCGUAAGACGCGAGGAAGGAGGGGAUGAUGUCAGGUCAUCAUGGCCUUUAUGCCCAGGGCUACACACGUGCUACAAUGGAGAGGACAAAGGGCUGCCACUUGGCGACAAGGAGCUAAUCCCAAAAACCUCUUCUCAGUUCAGAUUGGAGUCUGCAACUCGACUCCAUGAAGCUGGAAUCGCUAGUAAUCGUAGAUCAGCAACGCUACGGUGAAUACGUUCCCGGACCUUGCACACACCGCCCGUCAAGCCAUGGAAGCUGGGUGUACCUAAAGUCGGUAACCGCAAGGAGCCGCCUAGCUACACAAGGACGCUCGUCACAUCG